AAUCAACGCUGGCGGCGCGCUUAACACAUGCAAGUCGAGCGAGAAAGUGGGGCAACCCAUGAGUACAGCGGCGCACGGGUGAGUAACACGUGGAUGAUCUACCUGGAAGUGGGGAAUAACUCUGGGAAACCGGAGCUAAGACCGCAUACGCCUGAGAAGGGAAAGCCCCGCAAGGGGCGGCUUUCAGAGGAGUCCGCGGCCGAUUAGCUAGUUGGUGAGGUAAAGGCNCACCAAGGCGGGGAUCGGUAGCCGGCCUGAGAGGGCACACGGCCACACUGGCACUGAAACACGGGCCAGACUCCUACGGGAGGCAGCAGGUGGGGAAUCUUGCACAAUGGAGGCAACUCUGAUGCAGCGACGCCGCGUGAGCGAUGAA
RNAcentral lists this ribosomal RNA (376 nucleotides) under uncultured bacterium. RNAcentral describes it as "bacterial SSU rRNA". It matches the Rfam family "Bacterial small subunit ribosomal RNA", at positions 29 to 412 of the family's 1533-position model. The record is from RNAcentral.